RNAcentral lists this ribosomal RNA (434 nucleotides) under uncultured bacterium. RNAcentral describes it as "partial 16S ribosomal RNA". It matches the Rfam family "Bacterial small subunit ribosomal RNA", at positions 29 to 507 of the family's 1533-position model. The record is from RNAcentral.
AGCGAACGCUGGCGGCAGGCCUAACACAUGCAAGUCGAACGAACCUUUCGGGGUUAGUGGCGGACGGGUGAGUAACACGUGGGAACGUGCCUUUAGGUUCGGAAUAACUCAGGGAAACUUGUGCUAAUACCGAAUGUGCCCUUCGGGGGAAAGAUUAAUCGCCUUUAGAGCGGCCCGCGUCUGAUUAGCUAGUUGGUUGAGGUAAUGGCUCACCAAGGCGACGAUCAGUAGCUGGUCUGAGAGGAUGAUCAGCCACAUUGGGACUGAGACACGGCCCAAACUCCUACGGGAGGCAGCAGUGGGGAAUCUUGCGCAAUGGGCGAAAGCCUGACGCAGCCAUGCCGCGUGAAUGAUGAAGGUCUUAGGAUUGUAAAAUUCUUUCACCGGGGACGAUAAUGACGGUACCCGGAGAAGAAGCCCCGGCUAACUUCGAG